RNAcentral lists this ribosomal RNA (460 nucleotides) under uncultured bacterium. Its description in RNAcentral is "partial 16S ribosomal RNA". It matches the Rfam family "Bacterial small subunit ribosomal RNA", at positions 338 to 795 of the family's 1533-position model. The record is from RNAcentral.
CCUACGGGUGGCAGCAGUGAGGAAUAUUCGUCAAUGGACGCAAGUCUGAACCAGCCAUGCCGCGUGCAGGAAGACGGCUCUAUGAGUUGUAAACUGCUUUUGUACGAGGGUAAACGCAGAUGCGCGUCUCUGUCUGAAAGUAUCGUACGAAUAAGGAUCGGCUAACUCCGUUCCAGCAGCCGCGGUAAGACGGAGGAUUCAAGCGUUACCCGGAUUUAGUGGGUUUAAAGGGUGCGUAGGCGGUCGGAUAAGUUAGAGGUGAAAUCCCGAGGCUCAACUUCGGAAUUGCCUCGGAUACUGUUCGGAUAGAGAGUAGUUGCGGUAGGCGGAAGGUAUGGUGUAGCGGUGAAAUGCUUAGAGAUCAUACAGAACACCGAUUGCGAAGGCAGCUUACCAAGCUACUUCUGACGUUGAGGCACGAAAGCGUGGGGAGCAAACAGGAUUAGAUACCCGAGUAGUC